RNAcentral lists this long non-coding RNA (203 nucleotides) under Prunus persica (peach). RNAcentral describes it as "long non-coding RNA (PPER_LNC001319)". Lineage: Eukaryota; Viridiplantae; Streptophyta; Magnoliopsida; Rosales; Rosaceae. The record is from RNAcentral.
GACUGGUGAGGGAGAAUCUCGAAAGCUCUGAAAAUAUUUAUGAAAAUCAAAAGGCCCUCGCCCGGGAAUUUUUUGAUAUCCAAAUAAUGGAGCUCUAAAAAGCAGCUUGCAAGCAAGGACAGACCCAUUCAAGGACAAGAGGGGUCACAUGACCCUAUGAGAUGGCCGAAAAUGUGGCUGUGGACAGCCUGUGGAGGUCUGAG